GUUAGUGGCGGACGGGUGAGUAACGCGUGGGUAACCUGCCUUGUACUGGGGGACAACAGUUGGAAACGACUGCUAAUACCGCAUAAGCCCACGGGUCGGCAUCGAUCUGAGGGAAAAGGAGCAAUCCGCUUUGAGAUGGCCUCGCGUCCGAUUAGCUAGUUGGUGAGGUAACGGCCCACCAAGGCGACGAUCGGUAGCCGGACUGAGAGGUUGAACGGCCACAUUGGGACUGAGACACGGCCCAGACUCCUACGGGAGGCAGCAUG
RNAcentral lists this ribosomal RNA (266 nucleotides) under uncultured bacterium. RNAcentral describes it as "partial 16S ribosomal RNA". It matches the Rfam family "Bacterial small subunit ribosomal RNA", at positions 91 to 353 of the family's 1533-position model. The record is from RNAcentral.